Molecule: long non-coding RNA, 3951 nt
Organism: Acanthaster planci (crown-of-thorns starfish)
Lineage: Eukaryota; Metazoa; Echinodermata; Asteroidea; Valvatida; Acanthasteridae
Source: RefSeq, a predicted model, not a curated record
GAGGACGGAAAUUCAUCAAAUCACUCCCUUGUUCACUGGUUCUACAGCAACAAAACACAUACUGAAACUUUCCCACUAAAAGCAUAGAUUCGGGGUCGGUUAAACGAAAAAAUUAAAGAAACAAGAGGAAAGCGUGAGAAUUAUUUAACAAUGACUGGAAUACGUAUUCAUGCUUCAUUCCUACAGCGGUUAACCGUCGCGCAAUUAAAAUCCAAGGCACAGCAAACAGUUUGAAGCGUUUUUGAAACCCGUCAUGGAACAAAAACGCCAGCUGCCCUGAUUUAUCACUGUUGACUUCACCUUAAAAAUAAUGAUUUACUGAGAGGAAAUGUCUAGAAGUGUACAUCAUUAUCUGUCUAAGGUCUGAGGAUGUGUUUUAAGAUCAACUCAAAGUAAAAGAAACACCUUGUCUCUGAUUAGGCCCAUCCGCGGCAGAUCUGUCUCUUUUAUGAUUCCAUUUAUUACAUCCUUGUGUUCUGUAUGUUUGAAAUGUUCUUAUUUCCAGCUUUCAGUACAUUUCACGCUGCUCGUGUUUUGUUUGCUUUGUCUUUAUCAUUCCGCUCCUGUCUUUUCUGAAUGAUUCGUUGUUAUUUUGUCUUAAUUAGGUAUUUCUGUAUAAGAAUUUGUCUUCUGAAUACGCCCUCUAUUGUCCUUUUUCUUCUCAUUUGUGUAUUAAUUAAUAAUUUUUACUCUUGUAUGUCGUCAAAAAUCAUUCGUUCAUUAACCUUUAUAAUUCAACAAAUAAACUUUGCAAUAUGGAAAGAAAUGUCGAUGUAAACUCUAAAAAUAAUCUACUUUUAUUUAGCAUUCCUCUUUCGAAGGCAUUUUUUGGUCAACAAUCAAAUCUGUGCGAAAGAGAUCGCGAACAAAACCUUCCGCGAACCUCUCAGGUUAUGCAAAUUCGCUCAUCUACAUAUUGAGCCGCGGAGACAUAUUACUCUACCCCCGCGGGAAUGACGUGCGAGGUGUUUUGACGGGAGCCUCUCGCUCCCGAUGCAAAGACGUCUGCAUCAGCAAUGGCAUCACCGGGGCAACCGACUUCAGAAUAAUCAAGGGGACACUCCUUGAGAGAUUUCGAGAGAUCUGUGCACUAUACAUGUACGUUCAGCUGCCUAGAUUCCAAUGGACGGAAACUAUACCUUUCUUCGCCAGAAGAGGGGGCGUCACGCCCACUCCCCAUUCACCUUCAGAUGGAUUUUUUGUCUGCUGGUUGACUAUAUACGAGCAACAGCUUAUCGUUAUGAUGGCUGAGGUCUCAAGACGUUGAAAUGGCGCCUCUGGCCGAAGUCAUGAUGGCAGAGUUCGAGCUGCGGUUUGGAGCUCCUGGUAAUAAAUGAUCAUUAUUUACGCAGCAAUUGCCUGAUUUUGGAUGGGCUCAGGGCAGGCCGCUUACCAACAUCUGCCAAUUUUAAAAUAUUAAUUGGCUGGUGUUGAGGCUACCUCUUUGCUGAUCGUCGUGAUCGAAGACAACGACCACGUGACAGCAGUGUCUUACCCUGUCAUCGUGCGGGAUUACUAGAUAGCUCCCACACGAACCUACAUGUACUUGACUUGUAGAUUGAACAUUCAGCAUUCGCAGUGACGUCAAUGCAGUGUCAAACACUGUCUGGCUAGCUGUGGGGCCCUGUAUUAGAUUUUUGUUGAUUUUGAGAUUAAAGGGCAGACCUUUUAUGCAGUGAUCUCGUAUUUUGAUUUGUGAUAAUGUUCAUUUUCUUCGAAAUGCAGUCAAUUACAUGUACAUGUUAAUUUAACAAAACCAGCCUAGUUGAUCUAUAUAAAAAAAUUCUGUUUAUUUUCUGGCAGGCGAGCCUCUUUUAUAAUAAUUAAUAACGACUGUGAACAUGUACAAGAAUGACUACAGUGUAUUCCAUUUCAUUCUACGUUCCAUCCCAACUAAAUACCAUUCCUAUGCACUUCUUGCUUCGGGGAUCAACUUCAAAUUCAACCCACACCCACAUUAUGCGCCUUCAAUUAUUUAUAUUUCUCUGAGUUUAUUUUGGUGUGGUGAAAAAAACGAUUCCCGAUACCACCCUUUGAGAGAGAUUUUUUUCAAAGGCCACUUUAAAUUUGCAAAACUCCUCUGGGCCCAGGUGGAAAUUUACUCCAUUUGUUCCCACAAAACACGUCCUUUUUUAAAAUUCGUAUGAAUGUCACCGAAUAUCAUUCCUCGUCCUUUGACCCUUUCACGUGGUUAGCCCCAUGAAACUUAAGGGAUAUCACUGGUCGUAUCGGCCGGCUCGCCCACAGUAUAGUCAGAGUGAUUGCUUAUCCGCUGUGGUUUUUCACAGGAAACCAUUAUCUGGAUUUCUGGGAACAGUAUACUCGCGUCUCACAAUCUCUCGUUUUAAAUUGAGCGUAUGAGAUAAAAGUAACGCUGCAGAUGAAUAGGUCACAGCAUACCUAAUGAAUAUUUAGCCACACUAUAAGAGUAGGAUAAUCGCUUUCAAAAUGGCGAUUUGUAUGAAAUUUUGUGUACAGAGUAGAGUACUGAAGUGUAAAAUUAUUGUAGCUGACUACCUUAAAGUCCGUGUGUUUUUAUGCUCACUUGCUUCAGGAUGUGACAGUUUAUUCUUUUGUUCUGAUAAUAGUGCCUGUUGUAUUCGGUGUUGAUACAAAGGAAUCGCUGAAAGGAGGAAAACAUUAUUAAACUGAAAUAUUGAGUACAGCCCAACUACACUGUAAUAAGUGAAUAAUUCCCGGAUAUUUCUGAAAUGGCAACAUUUUGUGAAUGACAAGUUAGUUGUUCAGUAAUGCAGGCACUUCGAAAAAAAGGCGACCAUCACAGAACACCCACUUGUUCUUCAACUACACGUUAUAGUGUUCAUUUGCACUGGAUGCUACGGAAGCGUGAAGGGGACGUGGUGUUUUUCUUAAUGGCAAAGUCAUGAUUUUGACUCGCAUCUCACAAUUAUGACCAAGUAUUAUUGUUAUUGUUGUUAUUUUGGUUUAUUCGACUGUUCAUAACAUGUAAGCCAUGCAUAUUUAAGAUUUGUAUCUCAUAUAAUUAUGGCUUAGCUAAAGCACAUAAAACUGAGCUUAUAGUAAUGAAAUUUAAUGUACACGUGGCAGCUAGGUGCCAUAACGAUUACAAACAGGUCUGUGACUUUUUAAGUAGAUGGAAUAAUUAUGAGACUUAGUCGUAAUUAUGACUUAAUAUUUUCUGUUAAUUUUCAUCGUGUCCCCUCAACGCUUCCGUAUGGUGCCGCUCCAUCCUCCGGGUAAUUAUUUGCGUUGGAUUACAUAGGUUCGAUUCUUUGGCAUGAACUCUUAAGUCAUCUAUGAUGUGCUGAGAUGCUCAGUGUCUGUCACUGUGCGGGGGGGGGGUCGGAAGAAGGAAUUUAAUGUCGUGACUCGACACCGCGAUGUGGCUGGAGGCCCUGCUGGGAUUCUAAUCCAUAGUUGAUUCGCGCAAGAUUGACGUCAUGCAGCGAGCACGCCACCUCAAGCCCCCGUCGGAAUCCCGACGAUGCUAUGGAUGCUUGGCACGCAGUGAGUGGGAAACGGACUCUUCCUGAAGCGCUCAGGGGCUAAAAAUAAAGUUAUGUCCAUUGAUGGAUCGACUGUGGCCUUAAAGUAAAUUCAUUUAAAAGGCCUCGGUUUGUCCUGUGCACAAGUUGUUUACUGAUGAGGAAUGAUCCGUGGGCAAGAUACUGUGAUCAUAUUACAUACAAACUUGGCUCAGUAAGUAAAUUCACGUGGGCAUCAAGUUCCAAUUCAGUCAGGAAAUAAAUCAUGAAAAGUAAAAAUCUUCAAAUCAAUAAUGUCACUUUAAAAUAGUUAAACAUCUCUAAAUCAAAGGACACUCAAGUUCAUCUAUGACCGUCAUUCAGCAAGUUGGUCUAAAUUUAAAGUUGGCUCGAUCUGUACUCGGCAUUGCGUCAGCUGGGGUAUUCUUGUACAAAGGAAUGAUAAUGAUCAAUUUAUGCUUAAUUAUUAAACCAUUGAAAUGUA